This 459-nucleotide ribosomal RNA is filed under the name uncultured bacterium. Its description in RNAcentral is "bacterial SSU rRNA". It matches the Rfam family "Bacterial small subunit ribosomal RNA", at positions 59 to 513 of the family's 1533-position model. The record is from RNAcentral.
CAGUCGAGCGGAUGAUGGGAGCUUGCUCCAUGAUUCAGCGGCGGACGGGUGAGUAAUGCCUAGGAAUCUGCCUGAUAGUGGGGGACAACGUUUCGAAAGGAACGCUAAUACCGCAUACGUCCUACGGGAGAAAGCAGGGGACCUUCGGGCCUUGCGCUAUCAGAUGAGCCUAGGUCGGAUUAGCUGGUUGGUGAGGUAAUGGCUCACCAAGGCGACGAUCCGUAACUGGUCUGAGAGGAUGAUCAGUCACACUGGAACUGAGACACGGUCCAGACUCCUACGGGAGGCAGCAGUGGGGAAUAUUGGACAAUGGGCGAAAGCCUGAUCCAGCCAUGCCGCGUGUGUGAAGAAGGUCUUCGGAUUGUAAAGCACUUUAAGUUGGGAGGAAGGGCAGUAAGCUAAUACCUUGCUGUUUUGACGUUACCGACAGAAUAAGCACCGGCUAACUUCGUGCCAGCA